This 259-nucleotide ribosomal RNA is filed under the name uncultured bacterium. RNAcentral's name for it is "partial 16S ribosomal RNA". It matches the Rfam family "Bacterial small subunit ribosomal RNA", at positions 523 to 776 of the family's 1533-position model. The record is from RNAcentral.
UAGCGUAGGGGGCAAGCGUUUGUCCGGAGUUUAUUGGGCGUAAAGAGCGGUGUAGGCGGCCUGGCAAGUCCGCUGAUGAAACUCGAGCUAACCUCGAGACGUCGGUGGAAACUGCCUGGCUAGAGUCCGGAAGAGGAGAGUGGAAUUCCGUGGUGUAGCGGUGGAAUGCGCAGAUAGUCAGGAAGAACACCCGUGGCGAAGGCGGCUCUCUGGAACGCAACGUGGACGCUGAAGACGCGAAAGCGUGGGAGCAAACAGG